Molecule: ribosomal RNA, 253 nt
Filed under: uncultured prokaryote
Description: partial 16S ribosomal RNA
Rfam family: Bacterial small subunit ribosomal RNA
Source: RNAcentral
UACGUAGGUGGCAAGCGUUGUUCGGAAUUAUUGGGCGUAAAGGGCGCGUAGGCGGUUUGGUAAGUCAGCUGUGAAAGCCCGGGGCUCAACCCCGGAGGGUCGGCUGAUACUGCUAGGCUAGAGUACGGAAGAGGUAGCUGGAAUUCCCGGUGUAGCGGUGAAAUGCGUAGAUAUCGGAAAGAACACCAAGGGCGAAGGCACUCUGCUGGGCCGAAACUGACACUGAGAGACGAGAGCUAGGGGAGCAAAUGGG